UACGGAGGGUGCAAGCGUUGCUCGGAAUUAUUGGGCGUAAAGGGUAGGUAGGUGGUCUCAUUUGUCUGGGGUGAAAGCCUUGAGCUUAACUCAGGAAGUGCAUUCGAAACUGGCAGGCUUGAAUAUGGAAGAGGGUCGCGGAAUUCCCGGUGUAGAGGUGAAAUUCGUAGAUAUCGGGAGGAACACCAGUGGCGAAGGCGGCGACCUGGGCCAAUAUUGACGCUGAGGUGCGAAAGCGUGGGGAGCAAACAGG
This 253-nucleotide ribosomal RNA is filed under the name uncultured bacterium. RNAcentral's name for it is "partial 16S ribosomal RNA". It matches the Rfam family "Bacterial small subunit ribosomal RNA", at positions 524 to 776 of the family's 1533-position model. The record is from RNAcentral.